CCUACGGGAGGCAGCAGUGAGGAAUAUUGGUCAAUGGGCGUAAGCCUGAACCAGCCAAGUCGCGUGAGGGAUGAAGGUUCUAUGGAUCGUAAACAUCUUUUAUAAGGGAAUAAAGUGCGGGACGUGUCCCGUUUUGUAUGUACCUUAUGAAUAAGGAUCGGCUAACUCCGUGCCAGCAGCCGCGGUAAUACGGAGGAUCCGAGCGUUAUCCGGAUUUAUUGGGUUUAAAGGGUGCGUAGGCGGCCUUUUAAGUCAGCGGUGAAAGUCUGUGGCUCAACCAUAGAAUUGCGGUUGAAACUGGGAAGCUUGAGUAUGGUAGAGGCAGGCGGAAUGCGUGGUGUAGCGGGGAAAUGCGUAGAGAUCACGCGGAAUCCCGAUUGCGAAGGCAGCCUGCCAAGCCAAGACUGACGCUGAGGUGCGAAAGCGUGGGGAUCAAACAGGAUUAGAUACCCUGGUAGUC
Molecule: ribosomal RNA, 460 nt
Filed under: uncultured bacterium
Lineage: Bacteria
Description: partial 16S ribosomal RNA
Rfam family: Bacterial small subunit ribosomal RNA
Source: RNAcentral